RNAcentral lists this ribosomal RNA (468 nucleotides) under uncultured bacterium. Its description in RNAcentral is "partial 16S ribosomal RNA". It matches the Rfam family "Bacterial small subunit ribosomal RNA", at positions 28 to 507 of the family's 1533-position model. The record is from RNAcentral.
GACGAACGCUGGCGGCGUGCUUAACACAUGCAAGCCGAACGGAAAGGCCCUGCUUUUGUGGGGUGCUCGAGUGGCGAACGGGUGAGUAACACGUGAGUAAUCUGCCCUUGACUUUGGGAUAACUUCAGGAAACUGGGGCUAAUACCGGAUAGGAGCUCCUGCUGCAUGGUGGGGGUUGGAAAGUUUCGGCGGUUGGGGAUGGACUCGCGGCUUAUCAGCUUGUUGGUGGGGUAGUGGCUUACCAAGGCUUUGACGGGUAGCCGGCCUGAGAGGGUGACCGGCCACAUUGGGACUGAGAUACGGCCCAGACUCCUACGGGAGGCAGCAGUGGGGAAUAUUGCACAAUGGGCGGAAGCCUGAUGCAGCAACGCCGCGUGCGGGAUGACGGCCUUCGGGUUGUAAACCGCUUUCGCCUGUGACGAAGCGUGAGUGACGGUAAUGGGUAAAGAAGCACCGGCUAACUACGUG